This 804-nucleotide long non-coding RNA is filed under the name Monodelphis domestica (gray short-tailed opossum). RNAcentral describes it as "lncRNA (ENSMODG00000048489.1)". Lineage: Eukaryota; Metazoa; Chordata; Mammalia; Didelphimorphia; Didelphidae. The record is from RNAcentral.
AGCCAUUAUCCAAUUUCUCAGGGGUCAAUAAUGAGGGCAGACUUAAAGUCAAGUAAAAGUUUUUACCAUGUACAGAACAGUCAACUAGGUCUGUGUUCCUCACACAAUAUAUGUCUAGCCUCUCUUCCUUUGCACUGGUCACCCAUUCCAAGAGUACCCUCCCUCUUCUUUACCUCAUAGAGUUUGGAAUUUCUUUCAAGAGUCAGUUUAGGGGAUUGAGAGUCAGGCCUGGAGAUGGAAGAUAGAUAUAUGACCUUAGACACUUCUAUGUGAUCCCAGACCUGCUUCCCUAGAAAGAGGCUAUAGCUUGGCCCCUGGCUAUAGCCAUUAAUGGUGAUGCUCUCUGCCCAGACCAUGACUUCAAAUGUGAUAGAGACAUCAAGGGACAUUGAACAGAACAUAAGCUUCCAUGCAGGAAAAUGUAAAAGGCACAAAGUGUGGCAUCCUUGCUACCUCUCAAAACUCAGUCAGACCUUUGCUUCCUUUGGUUGGCAGUAGCUUUACCUGGGUACAAAGGAUGAGGCAGAACAGUCACCUGAAGUCAGGGAAAAUGGAAAGCUGAGCAACAAAGAGGCUGGUAGUCAAGGGCUACUUGACAAGAUCUGUCAUCCAACCCCUCUACAACCUCCCUGGUUCAGGUCUUCAUUUCUUCUCACCUUAACAACUGUAAUAGCCUCUUGGUAGAGGAGUCUCUCCCCUCUGCAAUCUGUUUCACAAGUGACCUUCUAAAUGUACUGUUACUCUCCACCAAAACCUUCAAAGACUGACUCCAUUGUCCCUCACAUAAAGUUUAAUUGAUGACUC